CAGCCGCCGCGGUAAUACGUAAGUCGCAAGCGUUAUCCGGAAUUAUUGGGCGUAAAGCGUCCGCAGGCGUUUUGAUAAGUCUGAUGUUAAAUCUGAGAGCUCAACUCUCAGCUCGUAUCGGAAACUAUCGAAAUUGAGUAGUGCAGGGGCAACUGGAAUUCCAGAAGUAGGGGUAAAAUCCGUAGAUCUCUGGAGGAACACCAAACGCGAAGGCAUGUUGCUGGGCACUCACUGACGCUCAUGGACGAAAGCGUGGGUAGCGAACGGGAUUAGAUACCCCGGUAGUCCACGCCGUAAACGAUGGAUACUCGGUAUUGGGAGCUUCGACCCUCUCGGUGCCUAAGCUAACGCAUUAAGUAUCCCGCCUGGGUAGUACGGUCGCAAGAUUAAAACUCAAAGGAAUAGACGGGGACCUACACAAGCGGUGGAGCAUGUGGUUUAAUUCGAUAAUAAGCGGGAAACCUUACCAGGGCUUGACAUCUUGGGAAUAUCCCAGAAAUGGGAUAGUGCCUUCGGGAACCCGAUGACAGGUGUUGCAUGGUUGUCGUCAGCUCGUGCCUUGAGGUGUUCUGUUAAGUCAGUAAACGAGCGCAACCCUAAUCGUAUGUUGUAUAUUUCAUGCGAGACUGCCGACUCCAAGUCGGAGGAAGGUUAGGAUAACGUCAAAUCAGCAUGGCCCUUAUGUCCUGGGCUACGCACGUGCUACAAUGGUCGGUACAAUGGGUAGCCAAGUCGCAAGACGGAGCCAAUCCCAUCAAAACCGAUCUCAGUUCGGAUAGAGGGCUGCAAUUCGCCCUCUUGAAGUUGGAAUCGCUAGUAAUCGUGAAUCAGCAUGUCACGGUGAAUAUGUUCCUAGGUCUUGUACUCACCGCCCGUCAAGUCACGGAAGAUAGGGGUACCAGAAGUCCCACAAUAAAGUGGGCCCAAGGUAAAACUAUUGACUGGGACUAAGUCGUAACAAGGUAGCCGUA
Molecule: ribosomal RNA, 971 nt
Filed under: uncultured bacterium
Lineage: Bacteria
Description: bacterial SSU rRNA
Rfam family: Bacterial small subunit ribosomal RNA
Source: RNAcentral